CCUACGGGUGGCAGCAGUGGGGAAUAUUGGACAAUGGGGGCAACCCUGAUCCAGCCAUGCCGCGUGUGUGAAGAAGGCCCUCGGGUUGUAAAGCACUUUCAGUGAGGAAGAACGCCUGGUGGUUAAUACCCAUCAGGAAAGACAUCACUCACAGAAGAAGCACCGGCUAACUCCGUGCCAGCAGCCGCGGUAAUACGGAGGGUGCGAGCGUUAAUCGGAAUUACUGGGCGUAAAGCGCGCGUAGGUGGCUUGAUAAGCCGGUUGUGAAAGCCCCGGGCUCAACCUGGGAACGGCAUCCGGAACAGUCAAGCUAGGGGUCAGGAGAGGAAAGUAAGAUUCCCGGUGUAGCGGUGAAAUGCGUAGAGAUCGGGAGGAAUACCAGUGGCGAAGGCGGCCUUCUGGACUGACACUGACACUGAGGUGCGAAAGCGUGGGUAGCAAACAGGAUUAGAUACCCCAGUAGUC
This 465-nucleotide ribosomal RNA is filed under the name Vreelandella stevensii. Its description in RNAcentral is "partial 16S ribosomal RNA". It matches the Rfam family "Bacterial small subunit ribosomal RNA", at positions 338 to 795 of the family's 1533-position model. The record is from RNAcentral. Lineage: Bacteria; Pseudomonadati; Pseudomonadota; Gammaproteobacteria; Oceanospirillales; Halomonadaceae.